UGGGGAAUAUUGGACAAUGGGCGCAAGCCUGAUCCAGCCAUGCCGCGUGAGUGAUGAGGCCUUAGGGUUGUAAAGCUCUUUCACCGGAGAAGAUAAUGACGGUAUCCGGAGAAGAAGCCCCGGCUAACUUCGUGCCAG
This 138-nucleotide ribosomal RNA is filed under the name uncultured bacterium. RNAcentral describes it as "partial 16S rRNA". It matches the Rfam family "Bacterial small subunit ribosomal RNA", at positions 355 to 511 of the family's 1533-position model. The record is from RNAcentral.